UUCCUAGUAGCGUUUGGUUCUGUUUUCAGGAUCAGUUAUGAAUUGCGUUUGACCGACCCGGCCACCACAUAGGGUGGAUACUCGUAAAUGUUAACCGCAAAUUUUAGAUUUCGUGUUCCCAAGCCUUUAAGGCCACUGCCUGAAUUAUUUGCAAGUGAGGGGUUUGGAUUAAUACCAUAUGAUAAUGUCAGUUGUAUGAUAGCUAUUCUCUUCUGUUGUAUACUCUGGAGACUCAUUUGGUCCUGGGGCAUCUUGAGUAAGGAUGGAGAGUCCCUCAGGCAGCAGAGAAAUUAUGACUACAUGAGUGGCAUAUACCUCAUUCUCAAUUUCUACAACAGUAUCAAACACCAACUAGAAAGGUAUGAGGAGCAACUCAAGUGUGCCUUCCAGCAAGACUCGUCAGGUUCUGAUUGGUCUUCGUCGUGUAACGAGCAGUCAGUGCCAGGAUGUAGCAGCCGACCCAGCUCACACAGCAGCGGUGAUAGCACACACUCAAGAAGUAGGAGACACAGCCCUCAGCAUCUACACCGUCUACGAAGAACCACCAGUAGGACGAGCUUUCACGAAGCCAGCCCUUACCCUUUUCCAAAAGAAUUAAGCGUUUCUCCCAUGCCAUUGCCCUUGGAGCAUCUACAUUGUAGCCAGUCAACUCACUCAUAUGAGAAGCCAUAUUACUUAGCACCAAGAAUAUCACCUCCGGAUGCAGUAUCUGGCAAAAAUGAGACGACCGAGAGGCCUGUAGUUCCCAUUGCACCAUGUCAAGCUGAGACUGUAGCCAGGCGAGACACUUCAACCUGCCACGAAGUCAGACUCCCGAGAAAAUCUCCCCGCAGGCUUUGGCAGUUUGCCAUUUUAAUUGUUCAGAUAAUGGUGAUGCUGCUUCCUGCAAGGCUGAGAUAUGCCCAGAAAGUAUCCAUAGUGAAGACCACAACAAAGGUACUAAAAGUAGCCUCCAUUCUUGCAUCUGCUGGCCCCCCGGUGACCAUCAAGCCAACCUCUCAAAUGGCCAAAGUAUCCUUAAACUCACAGGUGUUCUUACAGAAGCUGGAACUUCACUUGCGCUGUAAGCUGAGCGAACAACUUUGGGGUUUUCCCAAGCUGGUUAUCAAGUAUGCUGGCGAGCAAGUUGUCCAUCUGCGAUUGUCCGGGAGAUCAGGCGACAGGAGAGCCACGCAAGGUGAGGGUAAGGCUGAAGUCAGCAAGCUGCAGCCUGGUGAUCGGCUGAAGAAGUUACAUCACAGGUAUCCAAUGGCCCUCGAUGACCUUGAUGUGCCCAACACCAGUCUAAUCAUCCAGCAGGCGGAGCACUCAGAGAUCCUUAGGAACCCUGAAGCCCCAUACAGAGCUCGACAGGAUGAUCAUCUGGGAAUAAAAAUUCACACAAAAAAGGAAUGUAACCUGGGUAUGCGGCUGGAAACGAAACGAGAUAUGAAACAAUUGGAGGCACAAAUCAGGAGAAGACAUAGGCUGGCCAAUCGUCACACCUUCCACAGCCGGUCACGUCACCCUCACAUCUUGACCAUCUCUGCCAUCGUCUCGACACAGACAACUCAGCCUGACUCAGAGAAGAAAGGGCCCCCUCUUAAAGGAAGACAAGCCAUUAUGUUUAUGAACCAGUUCAGCCUGAUUCAGAUUGAACAGAACUUGACCCUGAAACGUGAGAACCACCUUCAGGGGAAGCAGACUCCCUACACCCUUUCUCUGGAGGAGAUGGCUGCCACCUCAACCCAAGAUCAUUUCUGUGUCCAGAAUGAGAACGAGGGAAGAACAUCUGGUUCCUGGUUCUCGAGGACACCACCAUGAAAAAGCCUGUCUUCUGCAUACCCCACUUACCUCCCCACACCAAGUGCU
Clupea harengus (Atlantic herring) is the source of this 1851-nucleotide long non-coding RNA. The record is from Ensembl. Lineage: Eukaryota; Metazoa; Chordata; Actinopteri; Clupeiformes; Clupeidae.